This 71-nucleotide transfer RNA is filed under the name Actinomycetes bacterium. RNAcentral's name for it is "Actinobacteria bacterium tRNA-Gly". It matches the Rfam family "tRNA". Rfam says of the family: Transfer RNA (tRNA) molecules are approximately 80 nucleotides in length. Their secondary structure includes four short double-helical elements and three loops (D, anti-codon, and T loops). Lineage: Bacteria; Bacillati; Actinomycetota; Actinomycetes. The record is from RNAcentral. RNAcentral also lists the same sequence under 1 other name.
GCGGGCGUGGUGAAGCGGUAUCACGAGAGGCUUCCAUCCUCUAAUCGGGGGUUCGACUCCCCCCGCCCGCU